This 69-nucleotide transfer RNA is filed under the name Ictidomys tridecemlineatus (thirteen-lined ground squirrel). RNAcentral describes it as "Spermophilus tridecemlineatus (thirteen-lined ground squirrel) tRNA". It matches the Rfam family "tRNA". From Rfam's summary of the family: Transfer RNA (tRNA) molecules are approximately 80 nucleotides in length. Their secondary structure includes four short double-helical elements and three loops (D, anti-codon, and T loops). Further hydrogen bonds mediate the characteristic L-shaped molecular structure. tRNAs have two regions of fundamental functional importance: the anti-codon, which is responsible for specific mRNA codon recognition, and the 3' end, to which the tRNAs corresponding amino acid is attached (by aminoacyl-tRNA synthetases). tRNAs cope with the degeneracy of the genetic code in two manners: having more than one tRNA (with a specific anti-codon) for a particular amino acid; and 'wobble' base-pairing, i.e. permitting non-standard base-pairing at the 3rd anti-codon position. The record is from Rfam by way of RNAcentral. Lineage: Eukaryota; Metazoa; Chordata; Mammalia; Rodentia; Sciuridae.
GGGGUUGUAGCUCAGUGGUAGAGUGCUUGUCUUGCACGCAUGAGGCCCUGGGUUCAAUCCUCAGCACCA